This 468-nucleotide ribosomal RNA is filed under the name uncultured bacterium. RNAcentral describes it as "partial 16S ribosomal RNA". It matches the Rfam family "Bacterial small subunit ribosomal RNA", at positions 28 to 507 of the family's 1533-position model. The record is from RNAcentral.
GACGAACGCUGGCGGCGUGCUUAACACAUGCAAGUCGAACGGAAAGGCCCUGCUUUUGUGGGGUGCUCGAGUGGCGAACGGGUGAGUAACACGUGAGUAACCUGCCCUUGACUUUGGGAUAACUUCAGGAAACUGGGGCUAAUACCGGAUAGGAGCUCCUGCUGCAUGGUGGGGGUUGGAAAGUUUCGGCGGUUGGGGAUGGACUCGCGGCUUAUCAGCUUGUUGGUGGGGUAGUGGCUUACCAAGGCUUUGACGGGUAGCCGGCCUGAGAGGGUGACCGGACAAACUGGGACUGAGAUGAGGCACAGACUACUACGGGAGGCAGCGGAGGGGAAUAGUGCACUAUGGGCGGAAGCAUGAUGUAGCAACGCCGCGUGCGGGAUAACGGCCUUCGGGUUGGAAACCGCUAUUGUCUGUGACGAAGCGUGAGUGACGGUAAUGGGUAAAGAAGCACCGGCUAACUACGUG